Molecule: non-coding RNA, 87 nt
Filed under: Pelosinus sp. UFO1
Lineage: Bacteria; Bacillati; Bacillota; Negativicutes; Selenomonadales; Sporomusaceae
Also listed under: 1 other name
Description: c-di-GMP-I riboswitch aptamer
Rfam family: c-di-GMP-I riboswitch aptamer
About the family: GEMM was predicted in a large-scale screen for bacterial structured RNA regulatory elements. Genes associated with GEMM are involved in a diverse array of functions, including chemotaxis regulation, signal transduction, secretion and chitin.
Source: Rfam by way of RNAcentral
CCAAAUAUUGGGCAAACUUAUCGAAAGGUAAGGACGCAAAGCUAUGGGUCUAAGGAAUUUUUAUUCUAUGACCGCCAAGCUGCCGAU